AGAUCUAUCUUGCUCUUUAUCUCAGGUUUCAAGAUUGAUGAUUGAGGACUCUGGAGCUGUAAAUGGGGUUAUAUUGGCUGAUGGGACAAAGGUGCAUUCUUCAGUUGUUUUGUCAAAUGCAACCCCUUACAAAACUUUUAUGGAAUUGUUACCUGAAAAUGUUCUUCCAGAUGAUUUUAUCUGUGCCAUUAAGCAUUUGGAUUAUAGCUCCGUAAGUUUCUUUGUAUAUUACUUGUUACUUUCUUCAAUUAUUAGAUAAUCUGUGCUGUUCAUGCCGUUAUUUUCUUAUCAACAAACAAAAUUUUGAAAAAAAAUAGUGUUGAGAAUAAGAUUUUUUAAGCUUCUUGAGUACUGCAAUGACAUCCAGGAGCAACAACAUUCCAUCCAAUGGGUUCGUACUUCCACUGAAAUUACAGAGCAUUUUGAACUUUCUGAGAAAUAAAAGUGAAACGUAUAUAUAGUUACCAAAACUUUAAGAUUCUCAAUUGAAAUUUCUCAAAGCAAUCUGACUAGUUUGCGAAUAUUAGAGAUCUUCAAUAUUUGAAAUAAUAAUAAUAAAUAACUUUUCAUCUUUGUGUAUGUGUUAUCUAUAUAUUGAGUAAGAAUUUUAAUUAAAGAAAUUGGAGGAAGUUAAAAACUCCAAACUUCUGCUGGUCAAGGUGAAUGAUUGAUAUAUAAUCGAUCAACAAAGUCAACUGAGCAAUAUUUCAUUUUUUAGGUUGCCCCAUUGAGGAGUUCCCUCUUAAAUAUCUGAGUUUGCCUUUAGGAGGGGAUCCUCGAGCGGAUUCUUUUUGGAAUCUGUACUUGUCGAGAUUGGGAAAAGAAUAGAUGGCUGGAAGAGAGCGUUGUUGUCUAAGGGGGGAUAUACAUUUUGGUGCAAUCACUGCUGAGUUGCAUCCCUAUCUACUCGUCUUUGUUUACGAUUCUAGUAAGGAUUGCAAAGAAAGUCGGGAAGUUGGUGCGAGACUUUCUUUGGGAAGGGUGUGAUGAAGAUAAGAAGGAUCACUUAGUUAAGUGGGAGGUGGUUUCUCUCCCUAGGGAGAAAGGGGGUCUUGCUAUCGGGAAUAUUGUUGCGAGGAAUAUUAGACUCUUGAGCAAAUGGUUGUGGAGGUUCCCUAGUGAAAGCGAGUCAUUAUGGUGCUCCAUCAUUAAAAACAAGUAUGGUGUUUAGGACAAUGGUAGAGAUUCAAAUGUGGUUAGGAG
Camellia sinensis is the source of this 1203-nucleotide non-coding RNA. The record is from RefSeq and is a predicted model, not a curated record. Lineage: Eukaryota; Viridiplantae; Streptophyta; Magnoliopsida; Ericales; Theaceae.